CCUACGGGGGGCAGCAGUGGGGAAUAUUGCACAAUGGGGGAAACCCUGAUGCAGCGACGCCGCGUGAGUGAAGAAGUAUUUCUGUAUGUAAAGCUCUAUCAGCAGGAACGAGACAAGACGGUACCUGACUAAGAAGCCCCGGCUAACUACGUGCCAGCAGCCGCGGUAAUACGUAGGGGGCAAGCGUUAUCCGGAAUCACUGGGUGUAAAGGGAGCGUAGACGGCUGUGCAAGCCUGAAGUGAAAGGCGGGGGCCCAACCCCUGGACUGCUUUGGAAACUGUACGGCUGGAGUGCAGGAGAGGUAAGUGGAAUGCCUAGUGUAGCGGUGAAAUGCGUAGAUAUUAGGAGGAACACCAGUGGCGAAGGCGGCUUACUGGACUGUAACUGACGUUGAGGCUCGAAAGCGUGGGGAGCAAACAGGAUUAGAUACCCUAGUAGUC
This 441-nucleotide ribosomal RNA is filed under the name uncultured bacterium. RNAcentral describes it as "partial 16S ribosomal RNA". It matches the Rfam family "Bacterial small subunit ribosomal RNA", at positions 338 to 795 of the family's 1533-position model. The record is from RNAcentral.